GACGAACGCUGGCGGCGUGCUUAACACAUGCAAGUCGAACGGAAAGGCCUCUUUCGGGGGGUACUCGAGUGGCGAACGGGUGAGUAACACGUGAGUAACCUGCCCUUGACUUUGGGAUAACUUCAGGAAACUGGGGCUAAUACCGGAUAGGAGCUCCUGCUGCAUGGUGGGGGUUGGAAAGUUUCGGCGGUUGGGGAUGGACUCGCGGCUUAUCAGCUUGUUGGUGGGGUAGUGGCUUACCAAGGCUUUGACGGGUAGCCGGCCUGAGAGGGUGACCGGCCAAAUGGGGACUGAGAUACGGCCCAGACUCCUACGGGAGGCAGCAGUGGGGAAUAUUGCACAAUGGGGGGAAGCCUGAUGCAGCAACGCCGUGUGCGGGAUGACGGCCUUCGGGUUGUAACCCGCUUUCGCCAAUGACGAAGCUUUGGGGGACGGUAGUGGGUAAAGAAGCACCGGCUAACUCCGG
RNAcentral lists this ribosomal RNA (466 nucleotides) under uncultured bacterium. Its description in RNAcentral is "partial 16S ribosomal RNA". It matches the Rfam family "Bacterial small subunit ribosomal RNA", at positions 28 to 506 of the family's 1533-position model. The record is from RNAcentral.